RNAcentral lists this ribosomal RNA (253 nucleotides) under uncultured bacterium. RNAcentral describes it as "partial 16S ribosomal RNA". It matches the Rfam family "Bacterial small subunit ribosomal RNA", at positions 524 to 776 of the family's 1533-position model. The record is from RNAcentral.
UACGUAGGUGGCAAGCGUUGUCCGGAUUUACUGGGCGUAAAGAGCGCGCAGGCGGUCAGAUAAGUCGAAUGUGAAAGCCCCCGGCUCAACUGGGGAGGGUCAUUCGAUACUGUUCGACUCGAAGGCAGGAGAGGGAAGCGGAAUUCCCGGUGUAGUGGUGAAAUGCGUAGAUAUCGGGAGGAACACCGGUGGCGAAGGCGGCGUUCUGGACUGCAACUGACACUGAGGAACGAAAGCCAGGGGAGCAAACGGG